RNAcentral lists this long non-coding RNA (476 nucleotides) under Hordeum vulgare. Its description in RNAcentral is "long non-coding RNA (HVUL_LNC010045)". The record is from RNAcentral. Lineage: Eukaryota; Viridiplantae; Streptophyta; Magnoliopsida; Poales; Poaceae.
AGAAGAACAAGCCGCUUGCGGGCAAGUACGAGGUCCAGGGCUUCCCUACCCUUAAGAUCUUCAGGAACGGAGGAAAGAGCAUUCAGGAAUACAAGGGUCCCAGGGAGGCCGAGGGAAUUGUUGAAUACUUGAAGAAGCAGGUUGGCCCUGCUUCCAAGGAGAUCAAGGCACCUGAAGAUGCCACUUACCUUGAAGACGGCAAGAUCCACAUUGUAAACUUCUCAUCUUGUCUGUUCUUACUUUCAUAUAGCAAUUGCCAUAUAGCCAUGGUUGAUGUUCUAUGUCUGCUGACUAAGUAAUGGUGGCAAUUGUAUAGGUUGGUGUUUUCACGGAAUUCAGUGGCCCUGAGUUUACGAACUUCCUUGAGGUUGCUGAGAAGCUGCGGUCUGAUUAUGACUUUGGCCACACUGUGCAUGCCAACCAUCUCCCACGUGGUGAUGCAGCAGUGGAGAGGCCAGUGGUCAGGCUAUUCAAGC